AAGUAUAAGCAACUAUACUGUGAAACUGCGAAUGGCUCAUUAAAUCAGUUAUAAUUUAUUUGAUAGUACCUUUACCUGGAUAACUGUGGUAAUUCUAGAGCUAAUACAUGCUAAAAACCUCGACUUCGGAAGGGGUGUAUUUAUUAGAUUAAAAACCAAUGCCCUUCGGGGCUCUUUGGUGAUUCAUAAUAACUAAACGAAUCGCAUGGCCUUGCGCCGGCGAUGGUUCAUUCAAAUUUCUGCCCUAUCAACUUUCGAUGGUAGGAUAGUGGCCUACCAUGGUAUCAACGGGUAACGGGGAAUUAGGGUUCUAUUCCGGAGAGGGAGCCUGAGAAACGGCUACCACAUCCAAGGAAGGCAGCAGGCGCGCAAAUUACCCAAUCCCGACACGGGGAGGUAGUGACAAUAAAUACUGAUACAGGGUUCUUUUGGAUCUUGUAAUUGGAAUGAGUACAAUGUAAAUACCUUAACGAGGAACAAUUGGAGGGCAAGUCUGGUGAACCAUCAACAGUUCCACUGCUGACGCCAGAGAUAGUAGGGUCUCCCCCCCCCCCCGGGGGUGAGAGAUUACGCUGCUAGUCGAGUAUCCAUUGAUCUAAUGGGGGGAUACCGGCAAGACAACCUGGAUCGGGGAAAGCUAAGGCCCUAUGGGCUAUGCCAAUCCCGAGCAGAGCGCCCCAAGAGCGAUCUUGUGGUUACCUGUGUAGAGCGCGCCAAGGUGUCGGCUGUUCUCAGCGAUGAGACGGCUUAAGGGACGUGCCUGCCCAUUCGAAAGAAUGUCUUUAACUGGAGCACCCAUUAUGCAAAGGUUGGAGAGGGCCGAUCGUGGAUCGGUCCGGGCAUGAAGUCGACCACGACGGGUGUGGUCCGGCUCGUGGUGUACAGGCCAGCAGCCGCGGUAAUUCCAGCUCCAAUAGCGUAUAUUAAAGUUGUUGCAGUUAAAAAGCUCGUAGUUGAACCUUGGGUCUGGCUGAUCUGUCCUCCUAAUCGAGCGCACGGAUUCGGCUGGACCUUUCCUUCUGGGGAGCCCUAUGCCCUUCACUGGGCGUAGCGGGGAACCAGGACUUUUACUUUGAAAAAAUUAGAGUGUUCAAAGCAGGCCUUUGCUCGAAUACAUUAGCAUGGAAUAAUAGAAUAGGACAUCGGUUCUAUUUUGUUGGUUUCUAGGACCGCUGUAAUGAUUAAUAGGGAUAGUCGGGGGCGUCAGUAUUCAAUUGUCAGAGGUGAAAUUCUUGGAUUUAUUGAAGACUAACUACUGCGAAAGCAUUCGCCAAGGAUGUUUUCAUUAAUCAGUGAACGAAAGUUAGGGGAUCGAAGACGAUCAGAUACCGUCGUAGUCUUAACCAUAAACUAUGCCGACUAGGGAUCGGACGGUGUUUCUUUUUAUGACCCGUUCGGCACCUUACGAGAAAUCAAAGUUUUUGGGUUCUGGGGGGAGUAUGGUCGCAAGGCUGAAACUUAAAGAAAUUGACGGAAGGGCACCACAAGGCGUAAACUUUUGUUUUACUUGAGAAGCCGUAGCAACUCUGCGCCUAAAAGCAGCCCGAAAGGGUGAUGUGGUCGCGUCCUUAAAUGCUAGUCUGCUCCCCGGAGAGGGCAGGCAACACGCUCAAACUGCGGGAAACUCCUAAAGCUUCAGGUACCAAGCCGGCCCUCGAAAGAGGCCGGUGGCCAGGUUAAUUGCCUCGGGUACGGUCACAACCCUGGAGAUGCUACAAUGGACAAUCCGCAUCCAAGCCCCUAAGCGUCCUGGACGGGAUACGGGGAAGGUUCAGAGACUAAAUGGGUGUGGGUCGGCGGUCGUUUAGGCGUGCUGCCGGCUUAAGAUAUAGUCCGCCGCUGCGAGAAAUCGCAGCGACCCAGGUGUACCUGACUUAACGGGAGCCUGCGGCUUAAUUUGACUCAACACGGGGAAACUCACCAGGUCCAGACACAAUAAGGAUUGACAGAUUGAGAGCUCUUUCUUGAUUUUGUGGGUGGUGGUGCAUGGCCGUUCUUAGUUGGUGGAGUGAUUUGUCUGCUUAAUUGCGUUAACGAACGAGACCUUGACCUGCUAAAUAGCCAGGUUGACUUUGGUCGACCGCAGGCUUCUUAGAGGGACUUUUGGCUCAAGCCAAUGGAAGUACGAGGCAAUAACAGGUCUGUGAUGCCCUUAGAUGUUCUGGGCCGCACGCGCGCUACACUGACAGAGCCAGCGAGUACAUCACCUUGGCCGAAAGGUCUGGGUAAUCUUGUUAAACUCUGUCGUGCUGGGGAUAGAGCAUUGCAAUUAUUGCUCUUCAACGAGGAAUGCCUAGUAAGCGCAAGUCAUCAGCUUGCGUUGACUACGUCCCUGCCCUUUGUACACACCGCCCGUCGCUACUACCGAUUGAAUGGCUCAGUGAGGCUUUGGGACUGGCUCAGGGAGGUCGGCAACGACCACCCAGAGCCGGAAACUUAGUCAAACUUGGUCAUUUAGA
RNAcentral lists this ribosomal RNA (2459 nucleotides) under Minutiella tardicola. Its description in RNAcentral is "partial 18S ribosomal RNA". It matches the Rfam family "Eukaryotic small subunit ribosomal RNA". The record is from RNAcentral. Lineage: Eukaryota; Fungi; Ascomycota; Eurotiomycetes; Phaeomoniellales; Phaeomoniellaceae.